GAGGAAAGUCCGGGCUCUAUUUAUGAAAGUAUAGUUGUAAAAAAUACAAUGUAGGGAACUAUAAGGAUCGUGCCACAGAAACAUACCGCCUUAAAUUUAAGGUAAGGGUGCAAUGGUACGGUAAAAGCGUACCAGGAAUAUUUUUAAGAUAUUUGCUAGGUAAACCCCAUAUUAGAGCAAAGUAACUAGUUUAUAAUAAUAAGUUUUUGUAAGCGUUUAUUAAUAGAAUAAUUCUAGUAAAUAAAUAUACUGCUUAAAGUAAAUAUUGUUUUAUACUUAAGAUUAAUGAUUACCCUUUUUAUUUGAGGCUUACUAAUUUAUAAAAAAUUUUAAUUUUAGUUAAGUUAUUAUAAUAUUAAAGAACAAAACCCGGCUUAU
This 378-nucleotide RNase P RNA is filed under the name Ophidocladus simpliciusculus. RNAcentral describes it as "rnpB". The stretch from base 1 to 295 matches the Rfam family "Bacterial RNase P class A", at positions 43 to 321 of the family's 367-position model. Rfam says of the family: Ribonuclease P (RNase P) is a ubiquitous endoribonuclease, found in archaea, bacteria and eukarya as well as chloroplasts and mitochondria. Its best characterised activity is the generation of mature 5'-ends of tRNAs by cleaving the 5'-leader elements of precursor-tRNAs. The record is from RNAcentral. Lineage: Eukaryota; Rhodophyta; Florideophyceae; Ceramiales; Rhodomelaceae.